UAUGGAGCCAUGCGGCAUUGAAUACAUGGAGAUGGACGAAGAGAGUUCUUUGCCAUUUUAUGAAGGCAAUGGAGCCUAUAGUUCGGGUUUUGAAGACGAUUUUGAGCAAACUCUUGCUAAUGCUUGAUAUGGACUUCGAGGUGGUGAUGAUCGAGGUUCAAAAUUCUCAUGAAGAGGUGAGUUAAAUAUCAAAAUAACUUAUAAAAGUAAGCCGUGCCUUUUCAAUAACCUCACCUAUAAUUUAACUUGAAUCUAGGUUGAAGGAAAUAAGCAAUUCCCUUGCGAAGUUU
Non-coding RNA from Paramuricea clavata, 290 nucleotides. The record is from the annotation of a GenBank genome assembly. NCBI's taxonomy places the organism in Eukaryota, Metazoa, Cnidaria, Anthozoa, Malacalcyonacea, Plexauridae.